This 3312-nucleotide long non-coding RNA is filed under the name Homo sapiens (human). Its description in RNAcentral is "HSALNT0375309". Lineage: Eukaryota; Metazoa; Chordata; Mammalia; Primates; Hominidae. The record is from RNAcentral.
GUGAACCCCUGGCACAGCAGCAGCCAGGCGGUGGCUGUAAUGGCCAGGAGAGAGUCUGGACACUCUAAUUUGUGUUCUAUGCUUGCCUGUGGUUGACCUCACUUGAUUUCUAACUGCAGCCUCUAGGUUUUGCAUCCACAUUUUAUCUUCUACCUGCAUAGGGUUCUGUUUCCAUCUGAUUCAGAAUAAGACUCUCUGUCACCUGAGAUCGGAUCUCAGUCCACUGGAUUUGAGGGUGAGACCCUGGUACACCUUUUCCUUCAGCCAAUAAGGUGAUGCCCCCCCCCCCCCGAAGGUCUCUCUAGCAUUGUGGGCCCUGGGCACAGAGGGGCCCAGGGGUGAGUAGGGGCCGCACGUCCUAGGAUAACGAGUGGACAGGGUGGGGUUGGUGAAGGGAAGUCGUAUCCCGCCGUGAGUGGUGCUGGCGGUGCUAGGAGGUGCUGGGCAGGUGCCGUGCUGGCCUGGGGGAAUGUCACUCAGGCCACAAGGUUCUUAGGGUUCCAGAUCCUGGAUGAACGGACUCCCUGUCCCUGUGGAGCUCAUGGCUGUGACUCGGUGGGCAUGGAGCCUUCUCUUCCUUAUGCCUUGGCCUCCAGAUACUUACCCCACGUCUUGCCUUUCAUUCUUUCUCUAGUCCUUUUGGCAAAUGGGAAAGUGGGGAAUUCCUGCUUUUCUCACAAACCUCCAGCUCCUGGCCUCUGGGUGGAUGUGUGCUGAGGUAGCCCUGUUUAUGCCCCUUACUGCUCCUCAGUAUCUGGGCUUCAAUACUGCCCCUCACCAAAAGGGUGAUGGGACCCCCCAUUGAAAUUACCAUCAAAAUGGGGUGGGAAUCUCAGCCAAUGGAUCCCCAGAGACUGGCUCCAUCCACCCCAGACCGAGGGCUCCUUCCUCAGGUCCAGGUACCCAGAACGCAGGGGUCCCUGCGUCGUCUACCUGACGAUGGGACCCAUAGUACCUUCGGGAGGCUGGGAGCUGGCCCAGGUGCUCCUUUACCUCCACAGAGGCCAUGAGCCCCACAGCCUCCAUUGUCUCCCAAGGACAUGGGUGUACCCACAGCCAUUGCUCCUGCCUUGGAGAAGAGCCAUCUGUGAGCCAGCCAGCCAGACGCCUGCAGGCCAGCAUCUCACGGAGAGCAGGACACCAAGAUAAAUGGUGCACCUGCUAAGUGAACCUGAUGAACGUCGGUGGCCAAAACCAUCAGGAGGAGGAAGAGCCAGACCUAGGACCACACACCAGAGAGGGCAACAUGAGAAAGAGCUCCCGACCCCAUCAGCGAGGAGCCGGCCCGGCCAGGGGGACCUCACGCCGGUUCUGAUGUGCACAGUCAACCUCUAGGAGCUCUUGACACUGCUGAGGGGCCACCCAGGGAGGGAGAGCUGGUGGGGGGACCCACAGCCCCCAUCCCCACCUUCUUCAAUGCUGUGGCUGCUCCUGCUCCUGCAGGGGCCCAGGCAGCCUCACACUCCUCAUUUUAUAGAGGAAGAAUGGAGGCUCCAACAACACAAGCCUGCUGUAGUUCCUGCAGGCUUCGUGGGCUCCGCACGUGUGUCUAGGGGCUGAUCCUCCCAGAGUCACAAUAACUCCAUCCCUGUCACCUACAAGACUGGCACGUGGUGUUUAUUUCAUUCUCCUUGUUGAACUGAUAUGGUGGCUGCAGCCACUCACCUCCUCAAUAUCUGCAAUGCUCCAGGUUUAAAUUUCUAAGGUUUCAUCUUGCUCCUGACUCUGAGUCCUAAAAGUCCUCCAAAUGCAUGAAUAUUUUAUUUUGUCCAAAAGUCUCAGGGUUCUGUAGGCAGAUCUGACACUGCAGUGCCUCUGGAGAGAAAGAGUUGGUGUCCUCGAGUCUCUCCUGAAGAGAGCCCGGCCUGAUUCUUACUCUGUAGGACCAGACUCCUCAAACUCUGAAAUGCCUGAACAAAUCAAGGAGAGGCUGCAGAAGCACUCUUUUCAGAUAUGGGGGUUUCACUCUCAUCCUGCAGAAACUGGCCAGGGGCCCAGCAACAUGGGACCAUCACACCCGAAGGAGCAGAGGGCACCAGCAUCGCUCAUCAGGAAUCAGGGCUGUUAGGAAGAAAUUGCAGCAAAUCACCUGCAGACACUGGUCCUGACGCUUUCUCUGGAGGGAGGGUGACUGCCUUGGAAGGCUCGCAUCAAAUGGGGCAGAACUCUUGCUUUCUCUCUUGUCCUGAAGGUGCUGUCUUUUAUGUACCGGUGAAGUAUGCCGCCAGGCAUUGUGAGUACUCUCUGAGCGUCAAUGAGCUGCUAUUAGGAUACUUUCUUCAAGGUCGUUCUGGGUACAAGAUUGUCAUGACCUGCAGUACCAACUGCUUUGAAACCGUCACGGCCUCCCAACAGCAAGUUUCCUGGAACAGGAGCCCUCAUUUCUGAUGGCCUUGCAUCCACAUACGUUAGGGUCUGAUUGAAGAGGUUCUUGGAUUAAUUCUGCCACUGAGAGAGGAAUUGGGAGCUCAGCAUUUGCUGCUGGAAAGAAUUAAAGAAUUCACAACAGGAAGAGUCUGGUACGAGGAAAGACAUGGAGAAAAAUCAUGACCAAAAUGAGAUCACCCGCAAAUGGCAAGGCUUGGAAUCCUCGUGAAGAACGGGGAUGCUUCGCUCCAACUCCAGUAGGCGGAGCCUCUGUGUGCGGUGACAGGACUUUCGGACCCUGAAGCCAAGCCCAAGGGCAAUGAGAUUUCCUGUUUCUUCCCUGCACACCACAAGCCGCUUUCUCCCGCUCCCCAGCCCUGCCGCAGUGGCACCGUGGAGCUCCCCAUGCUGAAACUCAUCUUAGAUCUCAGACUCAGCUUCUACCAAAGCAGCACCUGCUGAGCAUGGAGCUUGAGGAGAGAGAGGUAUUCAGGAGGUGGGGGGCCCUGGGAAGAGUGCACAGGGCCAGGGGUCCAGGCUUCUCCUCCUCCCUCUCUGUCACCUUAGAGGUGACCAGUUCCUCAGGUUUCCACAUCUAAAGGCUUCCAGGGACCGCGCUGACCAGCUGUCCAGCUCAUUAUGUGAGGUUCGCACGCCUUGCUCCCUUUCCGCCUCCCAUGCUGCCUCUCUUCCGCCACCCUGCCCCGCUCAGCCUCCUCUCCUUGUAGUUCCACUAAGUGCAGAGCUUGGAGUGAGCCUCUGGCCCCAGGCUCAGCCAGCACUGCAUUCCUCAGCAUGAGGCUCUGGGGGUCAGGCUGUGACACGCGUUUAACCUGCCCGGCUCAGUGCCGCAGUGAGUGACCCAACAAGGCGUGGUGGGAAAGUGGCCUGGGAAAUUGAACCGUAAUGUAUAUGCACCCUUCUUGCUGUCAACAAGAGCAAUUU